Molecule: ribosomal RNA, 465 nt
Filed under: uncultured bacterium
Lineage: Bacteria
Description: bacterial SSU rRNA
Rfam family: Bacterial small subunit ribosomal RNA
Source: RNAcentral
AAUGAACGUUGGCGGCAUGGAUUAGGCAUGCAAGUCGAGCGAGAAGUCUUUUUUGCUUGCAUUAAAGACGGACAGCGGCGAAAGGGAGAGUAACGCGUAGAAAUGUACCCCAAGGUCUGGGAUAGCGGCGGGAAACUGCCAGUAAUACCAGAUAAUGUCUCCGGACCAAAGUUUUUCGCCUUGGGAGCAGUCUGCGUACUAUUAGCUUGUUGGUGGGGUAAAGGCCUACCAAGGCUUAGAUGGUUAGCGGGCGUGAGAGCGUGGCCCGUCUCACUGGGACUGAGACACUGCCCAGACGUCUACGGACGGCUGCAGUCGAGAAUCUUCCGCAAUGGGCGAAAGCCUGACGGAGCAAUGCCGCGUGGUGGAUGAAGGCCUCGGGUUGUAAACACCUGUCAGUAGAAGGAAAUUUUGACCGAUCUACAGAGGAAGUCCGGGCUAAGUACGUGCCAGCAGCCGCGGUAA